ACACCCCUUACCCGAGACCGUUUCUGUAGUUGAGCAUGGGGCGUUACUUGACUUAACUUAUUAGUUCGGGGCAUAAAAAUUUGCUUUUAAAAUUUAUUUCACUGUUCACCAUAAUGCUGUGCACCUGCGCAGCAGUCACUAAUUUAACUAUACAUCGAGUUACAAAACUCAAAAUUUAGAUCCAUAAAUUUUCCCUAAAACUAGACUCAUAUAUUAUCUUACCAUAAAAUUUUAAAAAUUUUUGGUUUAACCAAUUAGUACAGUUUAUUCAUUAAAGUCUCCCC
This 284-nucleotide long non-coding RNA is filed under the name Gossypium raimondii (Peruvian cotton). Its description in RNAcentral is "long non-coding RNA (GRAI_LNC010471)". The record is from RNAcentral. Lineage: Eukaryota; Viridiplantae; Streptophyta; Magnoliopsida; Malvales; Malvaceae.